UGCGGGAUCGUCUAAUGGUAGGACGCCUGGUUCUGGCCCAGGUAGUGGGGGUUCGAGUCCUCCUCCCGCAG
RNAcentral lists this transfer RNA (71 nucleotides) under bacterium. RNAcentral's name for it is "tRNA-Gln". It matches the Rfam family "tRNA". From Rfam's summary of the family: Transfer RNA (tRNA) molecules are approximately 80 nucleotides in length. Their secondary structure includes four short double-helical elements and three loops (D, anti-codon, and T loops). RNAcentral also lists the same sequence under 1 other name. The record is from RNAcentral.